Molecule: ribosomal RNA, 253 nt
Filed under: uncultured bacterium
Lineage: Bacteria
Description: partial 16S ribosomal RNA
Rfam family: Bacterial small subunit ribosomal RNA
Source: RNAcentral
UACAGAGGUGGCAAGCGUUGUUCGGAAUUACUGGGCGUAAAGGGCGCGUAGGCGGUCUUCUAAGUCUUGUGUGAAAUCCCUCGGCUCAACUGAGGAACUGCACGGGAUACUGGAAGACUUGAGUUCGGGAGAGGGAAGCGGAAUUCCGGGUGUAGCGGUGAAAUGCGUAGAUAUCCGGAGGAACACCGGUGGCGAAGGCGGCUUCCUGGACCGACACUGACGCUGAGGCGCGAAAGCUAGGGGAGCAAACGGG